This 253-nucleotide ribosomal RNA is filed under the name uncultured bacterium. Its description in RNAcentral is "partial 16S ribosomal RNA". It matches the Rfam family "Bacterial small subunit ribosomal RNA", at positions 524 to 776 of the family's 1533-position model. The record is from RNAcentral.
UACGGGGGGGGCAAGCGUUGUUCGGAAUUACUGGGCGUAAAGGGCUCGUAGGCGGCCAACUAAGUCAUACGUGAAAUCCCUCGGCUUAACCGGGGAACUGCGUCUGAUACUGGAUGGCUUGAGUUCGGGAGAGGGAUGCGGAAUUCCAGGUGUAGCGGUGAAAUGCGUAGAUAUCGUAAGGAAGGCCGGUGGCGAAAGCGAGCCUCUGGACAGUUACUGACGCUGAUGCACGAAGGCCAGGGGAGCAAACGGG